RNAcentral lists this signal recognition particle RNA (357 nucleotides) under Ipomoea nil (Japanese morning glory). RNAcentral's name for it is "Plant signal recognition particle RNA". It matches the Rfam family "Plant signal recognition particle RNA". Lineage: Eukaryota; Viridiplantae; Streptophyta; Magnoliopsida; Solanales; Convolvulaceae. The record is from Rfam by way of RNAcentral.
GUCGAGCUCGGUAGCAUGAGCUUGUAACCUGUGCGGGAGCUUUGGGUUGAUGGAACACUGGGCCGCACCUUUGGAUAGGGCGUGGUGGCGUUCUUCUCGUCUGCCCAAUCCAAGUUGGGACUUGGCCAAGGUGCCUCCGCGAAGGCGGAGGUGUCUUGGUUGUUGAAUUGGGGAGGGUAAUGUGUGAAGCUGCCAAGGUGCCUCCGCGAAGGCGGAGGUGUCUUGGUUGUUGAAUUGGGGAGGGUAAUGCGUGAAGCUGAAUUCACAGAGUAGCGAAAAUCUCCUACUCUCUUCAGUGGAUGGUGCAACCCAAGCUCAUCAAGUGCCCGGUGGGUGGCACCAACAGAACCAUAAAUC